RNAcentral lists this microRNA precursor (64 nucleotides) under Ascaris suum (pig roundworm). Its description in RNAcentral is "Asu-Mir-5350-P6_pre stem-loop". Lineage: Eukaryota; Metazoa; Nematoda; Chromadorea; Rhabditida; Ascarididae. The record is from RNAcentral.
GCGGGUAUGGUUGUGUUCCAAAGCCGGUAGUGAUAGCGACACUUUGGCACAAUCACACCUGCUC